RNAcentral lists this ribosomal RNA (481 nucleotides) under uncultured bacterium. Its description in RNAcentral is "bacterial SSU rRNA". It matches the Rfam family "Bacterial small subunit ribosomal RNA", at positions 29 to 509 of the family's 1533-position model. The record is from RNAcentral.
AACGAACGCUGGCGGCGCGCCUAAUACAUGCAAGUCGAGCGAGAAGACGUAGCAAUACGUUUGUAAAGCGGCGAACGGGUGAGGAAUACAUGGGUAACCUACCCUCGAGUGGGGAAUAACUAGCCGAAAGGUUAGCUAAUACCGCGUACGCUCCUUGGACUUCGGUUCAGGGAGGAAAGCGAUACCGUGGGUAUCGCGCUCUUGGAUGGGCUCAUGUCCUAUCAGCUUGUUGGUGAGGUAACGGCUCACCAAGGCUUCGACGGGUAGCUGGUCUGAGAGGACGAUCAGCCACACUGGCACUGCGACACGGGCCAGACUCCUACGGGAGGCAGCAGUAAGGAAUAUUGCGCAAUGGGCGAAAGCCUGACGCAGCGACGCCGCGUGGGGGAUGAAGGUCUUCGGAUUGUAACCCCUUUCGGGAGGAGAUGACGAGCAUCGUUCGGACGGUACCUCCAGAAGCAGCCACGGCUAACUUCGUGCC